Molecule: ribosomal RNA, 468 nt
Filed under: uncultured bacterium
Lineage: Bacteria
Description: partial 16S ribosomal RNA
Rfam family: Bacterial small subunit ribosomal RNA
Source: RNAcentral
GACGAACGCUGGCGGCGUGCUUAACACAUGCAAGUCGAACGGAAAGGCCCUGCUUUUGUGGGGUGCUCGAGUGGCGAACGGGUGAGUAACACGUGAGUAACCUGCCCUUGACUUUGGGAUAACUUCAGGAAACUGGGGCUAAUACAGGAUAGGAGCUCCUGCUGCAUGGUGGGGGUUGGAAAGUUUCGGCGGUUGGGGAUGGACUCGCGGCUUAUCAGCUUGUUGGUGGGGUAGUGGCUUACCAAGGCUUUGACGGGUAGCCGGCCUGAGAGGGUGACCGGCCACAUUGGUACUGAGAUACGGCCCAGACUCCUACGGGAGGCAGCAGUGGGGAAUAUUGCACAAUGGGCGGAAGCCUGAUGCAGCAACGCCGCGUGCGGGAUGACGGCCUUCGGGUUGUAAACCGCUUUCGCCUGUGACGAAGCGUGAGUGACGGUAAUGGGUAAAGAAGCACCGGCUAACUACGUG